RNAcentral lists this ribosomal RNA (247 nucleotides) under uncultured bacterium. RNAcentral describes it as "partial 16S ribosomal RNA". It matches the Rfam family "Bacterial small subunit ribosomal RNA", at positions 523 to 769 of the family's 1533-position model. The record is from RNAcentral.
AUACGUAGGGGGCAAGCGUUGUCCGGAAUGAUUGGGCGUAAAGGGCGCGUAGGCGGCUUUAUAAGUCUGGAGUGAAAGUCCUCUUUUCAAGGGAGGAAUUGCUUUGGAAACUAUAGAGCUUGAGUGCAGGAGAGGUUAUCGGAAUUCCCGGUGUAGCGGUGAAAUGCGUAGAUAUUAGGAGGAACACCAGUGGCGAAGGCGACUUACUGGACUGUAACUGACGCUGAGUCACGAAAGCGUGGGUAGC